CACAAUACCUGUAACGGUUCUCUUGUGGUGAAGGAGAGUCGGACCAAAAUGCAGCGUGUAGAUUGGCGUGACAAUACAGAUAUAGGUUAUCACAAUACACCCCUUGGAUGUAAAAAAAAAAAAAAGGAAAGAAAAACAAGAAAAAAAUAAGCUCCUCAUGUGGAGAACAUAAUGAACAUGAACGUAAGCAACUUCCCUGGCAUGGCACUGUGCUGUAUUUUGGGGCGCAGGUAGCCUAGUGGUUAGAGUGUUGGCCCAGUAACCAGCAGGUAGCCUAGUGGUUAGAGUGUUGGCCCAGUAACCAGCAGGUAGCCUAGUGGUUAGAGUGUUGG
Molecule: long non-coding RNA, 332 nt
Organism: Oncorhynchus tshawytscha (Chinook salmon)
Lineage: Eukaryota; Metazoa; Chordata; Actinopteri; Salmoniformes; Salmonidae
Source: Ensembl